RNAcentral lists this ribosomal RNA (450 nucleotides) under uncultured Glomeromycotina. RNAcentral describes it as "SSU rRNA". It matches the Rfam family "Eukaryotic small subunit ribosomal RNA", at positions 569 to 1028 of the family's 1831-position model. Lineage: Eukaryota; Fungi; Glomeromycota. The record is from RNAcentral.
AGCAGCCGCGGUAAUUCCAGCUCCAAUAGCGUAUAUUAAAGUUGUUGCAGUUAAAAGCUCGUAGUUGAAUUUCGGGACCAAUUUGUUGGUCGUGCCUCGGUACGUACUGGUAUUAUUGGUUUCUCCCUUCUGAAGAAUCUCGAUGCCAUUAAUUUGGUGUCGUGGGGAAUCAGGACUGUUACUUUGAAAAAUUGAGUGUUUAAAGCAAGCAUACGCUUGAAUACAUUAGCAUGGAAUAAUGAAAUAGGACGUUUGAUUCUAUUUUGUUGGUUUUAGGAUCGACGUAAUGAUUAGUAGGGAUAGUUGGGGGCAUUAGUAUUCAAUUGUCAGAGGUGAAAAUUCUUGGAUUUAUUGAAGACUAACUACUGCGAAAGCAUUUGCCAAGGAUGUUUUCAUUAAUCAAGAACGAAAGUUAGGGAUCGAAGACGAUCAGAUACCGUCGUAGUCUUA